GAGCAAACUUGCAUCUGCGCCUGCCGCCAGAAGGUAUGCUGAGGGUAGUCACUCCCUGGUGCUGUGCUCCUUGAGGUUAUCUACUGGGACAUCUGGAGCCUACUGUUCAAAUAAUGCAGUCAUGCAGGCCUGCACUAAGUCAAGCAGCUGACCACAACCAUCCCCUUCUCCCUAUCUCCUUUACUCAAUAAAUAUGAAGGACUCUAAAAGCUCAGGGCCCUUGCUCACUAGAAGCAAGGAGCCCCCUGACCCCCUUCUUCCAAACAUACUCUUUAGUUUUGUCUUUAUUCCCGCCUUGGUCCUCCUUUGUUCAGUCCAGCAAGGUCCACAGCAAAGUGGUGCCCGAAAACAGGGACUUGAGGACAUGAAUGAAGAAGGUCUGCUGGAGCAGAGGAAGUGAAAUUGACCAGAUGAACAGGGACCCUGGGAUGAAUCUGCUGGCAGUGGAUAUAAGAUGGAGCCUCGCUCUGUCACCAGACUGGAGUGCUGUGGCGUGAUCACGGCUUACUGCAACCUCUGCCUCCCAGAUUCAAGCAGUUCUCCUGUCUCAGCCUCCUGAGUAGCUAGGACUACAGGCGUGUGCCACCAUACCCAGCCUUUAUACCCAAGAGAAAUUCAGCUGGACACCAGUAACGUAAGUGCUAUUUAUUGAAAAGAGCAAAGAAAGAGUGCUGACCCCUUAGGGACAGGAUGAAACAAAACAAGCUCUGCAAGUCUGCCUCCUGCUCAGCAUACAGGCUUGUUGCCCCACUGGGCCAUCUUGUUGUUGAUGGGCAUCUUGAAGAACUGAUCAGACUGUAUGUAGGCAGCGAUUUUCUCCAAAGCCUGAAAGGAAAAUACACCAAAUCUUAUAAAGACCCCAACCCAGUCCAACAGAUGCAUACCAGAACAGCAACAUUCACGUGUUGCCUGCGUCUACCUCCUCCAUUUUUUGUAGACAGUGCCUUCAAGGUAUAGAAGUCAGGCUCUUCCCAAGACUUAAAGGUUUAGAGGUGUCCAACCAUUGAUCCCUUUAGGCAAAAGCCGGGGAAGAAUCCUCCACAAUGGGAUCCUGCAGGUCCCAGGGGAGCUGUGAGUGUUUUUAUAAGAGAAAGGUGCAGGAAACGUCACCUCAAAACGGCACAUGAAAGCCUUCAGGUUUGGGAACUCAUCCAGGCACUUGGGGUCAAAUAUACGGUUCUGAUCCAAGAUAUCAUAGGUGAGAAAAUCCACAAAGGUGAGCUAGAAGAAAAGCAAUAAGAUGCUUAGGUCUGAGGAGUAGUAGCCUGCAGAGAUAGAGAGAUAUCCUCUUCUUUUCCCUUCUUCCUACCUUUUCCCCGGCAAACCAUGAGAAUUUCCCCAGAAACAUGGAGAAUUGUUUCAGUUGUCCAGGUAGCUCUUCCAAGUACUGAGGCUUCAGUUUUUCCUGAGAGGAAAAAACAGAAUGAGAAUAGUGGUGAUCAUCUUUGUAGUUAAUCAGGGGCACAGGCCAGUGAUGGACAUUUAGUAGCCCCUUCUCUAGGUGGGUUCUCAUUGCCUUCACUUGAGGAUGGCAGGGUGGGGAAGGAGGAGUUUGGAAAGAAGAGGCACCAGCACCAGAAUUACAUGACAAAACAAACCAAAAAAUAUAAGUUCUGUUUCUUAUUCUAACAAUCUGGGUUGGUGGGAAGGUAGCAGCAGCAGAAUGGAACAGAGAUAACCCUUGGGUUCCUAAAUACCCCUUUUUCUGAUACUCCAUUCAGCAGAUGUGUGCUAAGGAAACUCACGUGGUCGGAGCUGUAACAGAGCCUUAUCAGUUGUGUGCGGAAAUCCAUUACUUGGUUCUCUAUGAUGUCCACUCGAAUCUUUUCUUCUUCAGUCUCACCACCUGUAGGCCAAAUGACAACAAAUCACCCUUGGCAUCAUCCACUCUCAGACAAACUACCAGCCUGGGGUCCCUCACCAGCCCUACCCCACUCACACAUGUUGUGCUUGCGAGCGAUGUAGCGCAAGAUGGCAUUGCUCUGGGUGAUCUUGUUCUUCCCAUCCAGGAGGUAGGGCAGCUGAAAGGAAAAGGACGGGACAAAUGAACAACCUACCUCUCUCUUGAUUCCCUACCUGUCUCUCCUGGGGAAAAGAUCACUUGCAGGGCAGUGAACGAGAGAGAAGAUGCUGUGUUAGGAGAAAAAAGAAAAUAAGUAGAAGGUAGCAACUGGGUCCACAAGAUUCUAGACAGCGGUUCUUAAAUUGGUGUGUGUAUGUGUGGGUGUAUGUGCAUGCCAUGGACCUUUUCUCAGAAUAAAGUUGUUAAAUGCAUGAAGCAAAAUAGAUAAUUUACACAAUUAAAAAAUAUUUUUAAAAAUUCAAA
Molecule: long non-coding RNA, 2326 nt
Organism: Pongo pygmaeus (Bornean orangutan)
Lineage: Eukaryota; Metazoa; Chordata; Mammalia; Primates; Hominidae
Exons: 3
Source: RefSeq, a predicted model, not a curated record